This is a long non-coding RNA of Mytilus californianus (California mussel), 298 nucleotides long. RefSeq lists it as uncharacterized. The record is from RefSeq and is a predicted model, not a curated record. The transcript has 3 exons. Lineage: Eukaryota; Metazoa; Mollusca; Bivalvia; Mytilida; Mytilidae.
GCCUUGAAGAUGCAGGUCAUGCAGAGCUUUGCUGAAUGAAAACACGUCAGUACGACAGGAGCAUGUUGUUGAAAUGAUUUCAAUAUAUAUGAUUGACAUAUAUCCAUAGGACAUGCAGUUAGCCUAGACAAUUCUCUGUGAAGUUCAAGGACUUUCUUAGUCAAAUAUGGGAAGAUGUGAAAGGAUACAUAGAAAUCUUGGAGGACAAAUUGACGAGAGUCUUAAAAGACACAGAUAUGAAGAUAAACAAGAGGAAAAGAAUGCCAAACAUAGUUCAUUUUGUAGUUUAAAGGACUGC